GCUGUCUUUCACUGGAUCAUUUCUUUCACCCUGUGGACCAUGAGGCUGCACAAAUGCUUGAGCUGACACCAGCAAAAGGGCAGGUUCAGCUAAUGAGUGACUCAGCCUUACAUAAGAAAAGUCUGGAUGGGGCAUAAUAAAUGAGAGCUGACUGUGGCCAUGCUCAGCACUUCUAAGGAUCAGGCCUGCACAAGUCACCUCAAAUUAAAAUUCCUUGUCUGAAAGCAGCUCUGGAAAGUCAAUGGCAAACGAAUCUGUUAUGAAGAAUAUAAACACCUGGCAACAAACGUAGACAAGAGAGGGUAGCAGUGAAAUGCAAAGCGCCAUUCAGAGGAUCCUGCAACAGGCUUCACUCUUGGUUUCUGCUUGCUUUCUCUCUCUGAAGAGCAGAUGAAAAUGUAUCUAGUGAAAUGAGGUUCCUAGAAAGAAGCUCAAGUUCCAGAUGGCUGAUACCAUGCAAGCACCAGCUGUGAGGAGGUAAAAAAGUCUGCUUUUAAAAAGAAAUAGGCAAUGCCAACCUACUAUUGCUGCACUUAGGGGUUGUAUCUCUGCUGCACUCAACUGGCCUUAAGGGCCAUACAUGUCCAGGGUCUGCACAUAGCCCCUGGUAUGAGUAUUCUCCUCCUGCUUGCCACUAGAGCAUCUAGCGCACACCAAAAGAAAUGUUAUUUUUUUUAUACGUUGAGACCUUUGUCAAGCAAUACCAAGGAGCAGCCAGUAGUCACCUGGGCACUGGAAACAUUUUCCAUGACACCAAGAGCUCACAACUCUACGAGAGAAUGCAUGGCGGUUUCUAGAAGGAAUGUUAUACAGCAGGGAUACUUUGUAUGGCCACCAGAAUGAUCACUGGUAUGAACCAACUGGUGGGGAAAUACUUCUUGCACUCACAUAAGCAGGAAAACUGUUGCAGCUUGGAAAAUAAAAACUCUGAUUUAUGAGCA
This 941-nucleotide long non-coding RNA is filed under the name Anser brachyrhynchus (Pink-footed goose). RNAcentral's name for it is "lncRNA (ENSABRG00000001883.1)". The record is from RNAcentral. Lineage: Eukaryota; Metazoa; Chordata; Aves; Anseriformes; Anatidae.